GUUCUCCAUUGUAAGAUGGAAGAAUUAAUUAAUCUAAUUUCUUUCUGCCAACAGGUUCAUCAACACCUUGAGUCUCCCUGACAGGUCUAGGAAAUCAACGAUCAUUCGAGAUGGCCAAGUCUAAGAAUCACACCAAUCACAACCAGAACAAGAAGCACCACCGCAAUGGCAUCCACAAGCCCAAGUCCCACAGAUAUCCCUCCAUGAAGGGGGUUGACCCCAAGUUCUUGAAGAACCUCAAGUUCUCCAGGAAGCACAACAAGAAGGCCGUCACUAACUAAGCAGCUGUCGAGAACCUCAUGGGACAAACGAGGGUCAGGGCGAGAGACGAGCUGACGAGGCCGAGUGGUGUGCAUGGGUGUGUGUGUGUGUCUGUGUGUGAUGGACAAUACAGAACCUGGUACAUAAAGACCCAAUGAUCA
This is a long non-coding RNA of Aplysia californica (California sea hare), 422 nucleotides long. RefSeq lists it as uncharacterized. Lineage: Eukaryota; Metazoa; Mollusca; Gastropoda; Aplysiida; Aplysiidae. The record is from RefSeq and is a predicted model, not a curated record. The transcript has 4 exons.